This 484-nucleotide ribosomal RNA is filed under the name uncultured bacterium. RNAcentral describes it as "bacterial SSU rRNA". It matches the Rfam family "Bacterial small subunit ribosomal RNA", at positions 29 to 507 of the family's 1533-position model. The record is from RNAcentral.
AAUGAACGCUGGCGGAAUGCUUUACACAUGCAAGUCGAACGGCAGCACGGACUUCGGUUUGGUGGCGAGUGGCGAACGGGUGAGUAAUAUAUCGGAACGUGCCCAGUCGUGGGGGAUAACGUAGUGAAAAUUACGCUAAUUCCGCAUACGAUUUACGGAUGAAAGCGGGGGAUCGCAAGACCUCGCGCGAUUGGAGCGGCCGAUAUCAGAUUAGGUAGUUGGUGAGGUAAAGGCUCCCCCAGCCAACGAUCUGUAGCUGGUUUGAGAGGACGACCAGCCCCCCUGGAACUGAGACACGGUCCCGACUCCUACGGGAGGCAGCAGUGGGGAAUUUUGGACAAUGGACGCAAGUUUGAUCCAGCCCUUUCGCGUGCAGGACGAAGGCCUUCGGGUUGUAAACUGCUUUUGUACAGAACGAAAAGGUUUUUAUUAAUACUAGAGGCUCAUGACGGUAAAGGGAGAAUAAGCCCCGGCUAACUACGUG